Molecule: ribosomal RNA, 198 nt
Filed under: uncultured bacterium
Lineage: Bacteria
Description: partial 16S ribosomal RNA
Rfam family: Bacterial small subunit ribosomal RNA
Source: RNAcentral
ACGCUCGACACCUACGGGAUGCAGCAGUGGGGAAUAUUGCACAAUGGGGGAAACCCUGAUGCAGCGACGCCGCGUGAGCGAAGAAGUAUCUCGGUAUGUAAAGCUCUAUCAGCAGGGAAGAAGAUGACGGUACCUGACUAAGAAGCACCGGCUAAAUACGUGCCAACAGCCGCGGUAAUCUGAGCGGGCUGGCAAGGC